GAUGAACGCUGGCGGCGUGCCUAAUACAUGCAAGUCGAGCGAACAGACGAGGAGCUUGCUCCUCUGACGUUAGCGGCGGACGGGUGAGUAACACGUGGAUAACCUACCUAUAAGACUGGGAUAACUUCGGGAAACCGGAGCUAAUACCGGAUAAUAUAUUGAACCGCAUGGUUCAAUAGUGAAAGACGGUUUUGCUGUCACUUAUAGAUGGAUCCGCGCCGCAUUAGCUAGUUGGUAAGGUAACGGCUUACCAAGGCAACGAUGCGUAGCCGACCUGAGAGGGUGGAGGGCCACAGGGGAAGGGAGGCCGGGCAGAGACGCUGGGGGGGGGAGAAGGGGGGGAUUUUUCCGGAAGGGGGAAAGGGGGAAGGGGGGAACGCGGGGGGAAGGAUGAGGGUUUUAGGAUGGAAAAAUUUUGUAGGAGGGAAGGAAAAAAGGGGUAGGAACCUGGGCGGGUAAGGACGGUACCUAAAAAAAAGGCCCCGGCUAACUCCGGG
Molecule: ribosomal RNA, 497 nt
Filed under: uncultured bacterium
Lineage: Bacteria
Description: partial 16S ribosomal RNA
Rfam family: Bacterial small subunit ribosomal RNA
Source: RNAcentral